RNAcentral lists this ribosomal RNA (299 nucleotides) under fungal sp. RNAcentral's name for it is "partial 18S ribosomal RNA". It matches the Rfam family "Eukaryotic small subunit ribosomal RNA", at positions 548 to 853 of the family's 1831-position model. The record is from RNAcentral. Lineage: Eukaryota; Fungi.
UUGGAGGGCAAGUCUGGUGCCAGCAGCCGCGGUAAUUCCAGCUCCAAUAGCGUAUAUUAAAGUUGUUGCAGUUAAAAAGCUCGUAGUUGAACCUUUGGCCUGGCUGGCAGGUCCGCCUCACCGCGUGCACUUGUCCGGCCGGGCCUUUUCUUCUGGAGAACCGCAUGCCCUUCACUGGGUGUGUUGGGGACCAGGACUUUUACUUUGAAAAAAUUAGAGUGUUCAAAGCAGGCCUUUGCUCGAAUACGUUAGCAUGGAAUAAUAGAAUAGGACGUGCGGUCCUAUUUUGUUGGUUUUUA